RNAcentral lists this small RNA (104 nucleotides) under Escherichia coli. Its description in RNAcentral is "partial RtT sRNA". It matches the Rfam family "RtT RNA", at positions 1 to 102 of the family's 130-position model. From Rfam's summary of the family: This family represents a bacterial cis-regulatory element known as RtT RNA. The exact function of RtT is unknown although it is thought that it may be involved in changing the cellular response in relation to amino acid starvation. The record is from RNAcentral. Lineage: Bacteria; Pseudomonadati; Pseudomonadota; Gammaproteobacteria; Enterobacterales; Enterobacteriaceae.
AUUCUGCCCAUGCGGGGAAGGACGAGAAGCUUCGACCAAGGUUCGACUCGAGCGUCAGCGAGAGAGCGUUGCCGCAGGCAACGACCCGUAGGGCGAAGCGCGCA